UGAUACUAAGCCAUGCGAGUCAUUGUAGCAAUACAAGGCAUACGGCUCAGUAACGCGUAGUCAACCUAACCUAUGGACGGGAAUAACCUCGGGAAACUGAGAAUAAUGCCCGAUAGAACAUUAUGCCUGGAAUGGUUUAUGUUCCAAAUGAUUUAUCGCCGUAGGAUGGGACUGCGGCCUAUCAGUUUGUUGGUGAGGCAAUGGCCCACCAAGACUAUUACAGGUACGGGCUCUGAGAGGAGUAGCCCCGAGAUGGGUACUGAGACACGGACCCAGGCCCUAUGGGGCGCAGCAGGCGAGAAAACUUUGCAAUGUGCGAAAGCACGACAAGGUUAAUCCGAGUGGUUUCUGCUAAAGGAACCUUUUGUCAGUCCUAGAAACACUGAUGAAUAAGGGGUGGGCAAGUUCUGGUGUCAGCCGCCGCGGUAAAACCAGCACCUCAAGUGGUCAGGAUGAUUAUUGGGCCUAAAGCAUCCGUAGCCGGCUCUGUAAGUUUUCGGUUAAAUCUGUACGCUCAACGUACAGGCUGCCGGGAAUACUGCAAAGCUAGGGAGUGGGAGAGGUAGACGGUACUCGGUAGGAAGGGGUAAAAUCCUUUGAUCUAUUGAUGACCACCUGUGGCGAAGGCGGUCUACCAGAACACGUCCGACGGUGAGGGAUGAAAGCUGGGGGAGCAAACCGGAUUAGAUACCCGGGUAGUCCCAGCUGUAAACCAUGCAAACUCAGUGAUGCAUUGGCUUGUGGCCAAUGCAGUGCUGCAGGGAAGCCGUUAAGUUUGCCGCCUGGGAAGUACGUACGCAAGUAUGAAACUUAAAGGAAUUGGCGGGGGAGCACCACAAGGGGUGAAGCCUGCGGUUCAAUUGG
This 864-nucleotide ribosomal RNA is filed under the name uncultured archaeon. Its description in RNAcentral is "bacterial SSU rRNA". It matches the Rfam family "Archaeal small subunit ribosomal RNA", at positions 39 to 909 of the family's 1478-position model. The record is from RNAcentral.